AGAACAUGUUUAACUUGAACUUAUUUAAAAGGAUAUAAAUUACCAGUGCAUCAUUGUGAGGCUGAGAUAAGGCCACAAUGUCUUCCUUGUUGAAUAUGAGGGAGUCCUCGAGAAUGUAAUCCCGAGUCUGUUUCUCCCUCGUGAUGGAUACUUUGGUACGCUUGAAUAUAGGCCCAUGUGGUACGUCGACUCCACCGAUGAUCAUGUGAAUGACAUGUUGAGGUUCUUCAGGUUCAUUCUUCCUAUCUGCAUCUCUCUUACUGAAGUGAUUCUUAGCUCGAUCACUUAUGAAUUCUCGAAGGUCGCCCUCACUGAAUAACCUAGCCACUUCUUUGCGUAACUACCUACAAUCUUUGGUCAUGUGCCCAUGGGUCCAUGAUAUUUGCGCAUCAAGUUGGGGUUCCUCUAAGAAGGAAUGGUCUGUAUAGGCUUGGGCCAUCUAGUAUCUCUAAUUUUGCCAAUGGCUGAGACAAUCCUUGAGGUAUCGACGGUGAAGUUGUUCUCUGUUAAUCUGGGCGCCUAUAUCGGUCCCAAGUGCCUAUAAAACCCAAUUUUACUCAUGAGUCCCCGUGAACUUUGACCUCGAUCUGUUCUUCGAUCAUUCCAAGGUAUGUUAUGCUUUGACAUAUGACUUCGAUCCUCGGUGCAUGGAUAGUAUCUUUCCUUAUUUGAUCUUAACCCCAUGUCUGCAUUUCUUGACUC
Molecule: long non-coding RNA, 702 nt
Filed under: Nicotiana benthamiana
Lineage: Eukaryota; Viridiplantae; Streptophyta; Magnoliopsida; Solanales; Solanaceae
Description: long non-coding RNA (NBEN_LNC036223)
Source: RNAcentral